RNAcentral lists this ribosomal RNA (345 nucleotides) under Triticum aestivum (bread wheat). Its description in RNAcentral is "partial small subunit ribosomal RNA". Lineage: Eukaryota; Viridiplantae; Streptophyta; Magnoliopsida; Poales; Poaceae. The record is from RNAcentral.
AUGCCGCAUAUAAAUGUACCAACCGUGUACCCGGUGCAAUGCGUAGCUAGUCCGGUGCGAUCGAGAUGGCCUCUCGAUCGAAGGAGAAGCAGCGUUGCAACCCAGCUGCUCACGCUGAAGACGCCCAUGUGCCAAGCGCGUCGUGCACGCGGAGGCCGCAACUUGCUCUUCUCUCACCUCACUUUUCCCGUCGCCCGGCGAGCUAGAAGGAUAGACUCGUGGACAAUAACCUUGCUGCUGCGAAGAUAUGAAGAAAAAUGCAGAGUGUGUGGCUCAACCUUGCUGCUGCGAAGAUAUGAAGAAAAAUGCAGAGUGUGUGGCUCACCUUGCUGUUGUAGCCUAUAG